RNAcentral lists this ribosomal RNA (322 nucleotides) under uncultured eukaryote. RNAcentral's name for it is "partial 18S ribosomal RNA". It matches the Rfam family "Eukaryotic small subunit ribosomal RNA", at positions 1470 to 1796 of the family's 1831-position model. The record is from RNAcentral.
CCCUUAGAUGUUCUGGGCCGCACGCGUGCUACACUGAGUGGAUCAGCGGGUCAGGUUGCGCGAAAGUGUUUCCUAAUCUUGAAAUCCGCUCGUGAUGGGGAUUGACGGUUGCAAUUUUCCGUCAUGAACGAGGAAUACCUUGUAAGCGCGGGUCAUCAUCCCGCGCUGAAUACGUCCUUGCCCUUUGUACACACCGCCCGUCGCUCCUACCGAUUGAGUGGUCCGGUGAGGCUUUGGGAUCUGAGCAAAGAGAGCGUUUCGCUCGUUUUGCCCGGAAAACUCAGUCGAACCUUAUCAUUUAGAGGAAGGAGAAGUCGUAACA